This 409-nucleotide ribosomal RNA is filed under the name Asterionellopsis glacialis. RNAcentral's name for it is "partial Bacterial small subunit ribosomal RNA". It matches the Rfam family "Bacterial small subunit ribosomal RNA", at positions 1 to 415 of the family's 1533-position model. The record is from RNAcentral. Lineage: Eukaryota; Bacillariophyta; Plagiogrammaphyceae; Rhaphoneidales; Asterionellopsidaceae.
AUGGAGAGUUUGAUCCUGGCUCAGGACGAACGCUGGCGGCGUGCUUAACACAUGCAAGUCGUACGGUAAGGCCCUUUCGGGGGUACACGAGUGGCGAACGGGUGAGUAACACGUGAGUAACCUGCCCACAACUUUGGGAUAACGCUAGGAAACUGGUGCUAAUACUGGAUAUGUGCUCCUGCUGCAUGGUGGGGGUUGGAAAGCUCCGGCGGUUGUGGAUGGACUCGCGGCCUAUCAGCUUGUUGGUGGGGUAGUGGCCUACCAAGGCGGCGACGGGUAGCCGGCCUGAGAGGGUGACCGGCCACAUUGGGACUGAGAUACGGCCCAGACUCCUACGGGAGGCAGCAGUGGGGAAUCUUGGACAAUGGGGGCAACCCUGAUCCAGCCAUGCCGCGUGAGUGAUGAAGGC